AUGCUGGCCUGCUUCGCGCUGAACUCCUCCUGCAUGCAUGCGCAUCGACCGAUCGAGCUCCGGAUCAAUGGCGGUUCAGCACGUCUUGCAAACCAGAGUACCAGACCAGAGGAGGGAGAAGAAGACCUGGGCCUGGAGGAUCGACUCCGAGUUGCGCAUGAGGAGGUCGUGGGCGCGCCGGAGCUGCUCCUGCCGGGACAGCAGCUCCUCCUGCUGCUGCCGCCCGAACCGCGCCAGCCUCUGCAUCGCCUCCCUGCUCUCCUCCAGCGCCCGGCUCAGGAAGCCGUGGAGCUCCCCGAGCGCCCGCGUCGCGUUCGCCUGCCCCUCCAGCAGCUCCCGCUGGUUCUCCAGCGACUGCCCGGCGGCGGUCCCGAUCUCCUCCGCGGUGCGCUGCAGGCCCUCCAUCCGCGCCGCCAUGGCGUCGCCGACGGCCCUGACCUCCCGCUCGAUCCCCGCCGCCUCCUCCUUCAGCCUCACCAUCUCCUCGCCCAGCCGCGCGUACUCCUCCUCCACCCGCGCCAUGCCGGCGUCGAUCCGGCCCCGCAUCUCCUCCUGCCCUUCCCUCAGCCCCGCCUGCGCCGCCGCGAUCUGCCUCGACUGCUCGGCUAUGGCCGCCGACUGCGCCAGCACGUCGCCGAUCCGGGAUUUGAGGUUGUCGGACGCGGCGGCCAGGUUCUCGGUCUGCGACACGAUCGACGACAUGGAGCCCUGGAGCUUGCUCGACUCCUGCAUGAUCUGGUCCGACCUCUCCUCGAUCGCCGACAGCUUCUCGCUCGCCGCCGCUGCCGCCCGGGUCAGGUCGUUCACCAGCCGCUCCGUGCUCUGCUUGAACGCUUCCGCCCUGCGCACGAUUCACAAAUCAAUCAAGAAGAAGAGGAAGAAGACGAUCAUGGCGGAUUGGAUAUGAUUGCGUACUGGAGCUGGUGGCAGAGGGUGUUGGUCUCGAGGAAGAACUCGAGGAAGACCUUCUCCUCGUGCUCGGAGAGGCGCUUGCGGCAGUGCACCAUGCGCGAGCGGUCGUCGCAGGGCGGCAGCGGCGGGCGGCCGGAGUCCUGCUGGUAG
Molecule: ribosomal RNA, 1062 nt
Filed under: Triticum aestivum (bread wheat)
Lineage: Eukaryota; Viridiplantae; Streptophyta; Magnoliopsida; Poales; Poaceae
Description: partial small subunit ribosomal RNA
Source: RNAcentral